GGGUUGUGAGGUUAAGCGACUAAGCGUACACGGUGGAUGCCCUGGCAGUCAGAGGCGAUGAAGGACGUGCUAAUCUGCGAUAAGCGUCGGUAAGGUGAUAUGAACCGUUAUAACCGGCGAUUUCCGAAUGGGGAAACCCAGUGUGUUUCGACACACUAUCAUUAACUGAAUCCAUAGGUUAAUGAGGCGAACCGGGGGAACUGAAACAUCUAAGUACCCCGAGGAAAAGAAAUCAACCGAGAUUCCCCCAGUAGCGGCGAGCGAACGGGGAGCAGCCCAGAGCCUGAAUCAGUGUGUGUGUUAGUGGAAGCGUCUGGAAAGGCGCGCGAUACAGGGUGACAGCCCCGUACACAAAAAUGCACAUGCUGUGAGCUCGAUGAGUAGGGCGGGACACGUGGUAUCCUGUCUGAAUAUGGGGGGACCAUCCUCCAAGGCUAAAUACUCCUGACUGACCGAUAGUGAACCAGUACCGUGAGGGAAAGGCGAAAAGAACCCCGGCGAGGGGAGUGAAAAAGAACCUGAAACCGUGUACGUACAAGCAGUGGGAGCACGCUUAGGCGUGUGACUGCGUACCUUUUGUAUAAUGGGUCAGCGACUUAUAUUCUGUAGCAAGGUUAACCGAAUAGGGGAGCCGAAGGGAAACCGAGUCUUAACUGGGCGUUAAGUUGCAGGGUAUAGACCCGAAACCCGGUGAUCUAGCCAUGGGCAGGUUGAAGGUUGGGUAACACUAACUGGAGGACCGAACCGACUAAUGUUGAAAAAUUAGCGGAUGACUUGUGGCUGGGGGUGAAAGGCCAAUCAAACCGGGAGAUAGCUGGUUCUCCCCGAAAGCUAUUUAGGUAGCGCCUCGUGAAUUCAUCUCCGGGGGUAGAGCACUGUUUCGGCAAGGGGGUCAUCCCGACUUACCAACCCGAUGCAAACUGCGAAUACCGGAGAAUGUUAUCACGGGAGACACACGGCGGGUGCUAACGUCCGUCGUGAAGAGGGAAACAACCCAGACCGCCAGCUAAGGUCCCAAAGUCAUGGUUAAGUGGGAAACGAUGUGGGAAGGCCCAGACAGCCAGGAUGUUGGCUUAGAAGCAGCCAUCAUUUAAAGAAAGCGUAAUAGCUCACUGGUCGAGUCGGCCUGCGCGGAAGAUGUAACGGGGCUAAACCAUGCACCGAAGCUGCGGCAGCGACGCUGAUGCGUUGUUGGGUAGGGGAGCGUUCUGUAAGCCUGCGAAGGUGUGCUGUGAGGCAUGCUGGAGGUAUCAGAAGUGCGAAUGCUGACAUAAGUAACGAUAAAGCGGGUGAAAAGCCCGCUCGCCGGAAGACCAAGGGUUCCUGUCCAACGUUAAUCGGGGCAGGGUGAGUCGACCCCUAAGGCGAGGCCGAAAGGCGUAGUCGAUGGGAAACAGGUUAAUAUUCCUGUACUUGGUGUUACUGCGAAGGGGGGACGGAGAAGGCUAUGUUGGCCGGGCGACGGUUGUCCCGGUUUAAGCGUGUAGGCUGGUUUUCCAGGCAAAUCCGGAAAAUCAAGGCUGAGGCGUGAUGACGAGGCACUACGGUGCUGAAGCAACAAAUGCCCUGCUUCCAGGAAAAGCCUCUAAGCAUCAGGUAACAUCAAAUCGUACCCCAAACCGACACAGGUGGUCAGGUAGAGAAUACCAAGGCGCUUGAGAGAACUCGGGUGAAGGAACUAGGCAAAAUGGUGCCGUAACUUCGGGAGAAGGCACGCUGAUAUGUAGGUGAAGUCCCUUGCGGAUGGAGCUGAAAUCAGUCGAAGAUACCAGCUGGCUGCAACUGUUUAUUAAAAACACAGCACUGUGCAAACACGAAAGUGGACGUAUACGGUGUGACGCCUGCCCGGUGCCGGAAGGUUAAUUGAUGGGGUCAGCGCAAGCGAAGCUCUUGAUCGAAGCCCCGGUAAACGGCGGCCGUAACUAUAACGGUCCUAAGGUAGCGAAAUUCCUUGUCGGGUAAGUUCCGACCUGCACGAAUGGCGUAAUGAUGGCCAGGCUGUCUCCACCCGAGACUCAGUGAAAUUGAACUCGCUGUGAAGAUGCAGUGUACCCGCGGCAAGACGGAAAGACCCCGUGAACCUUUACUAUAGCUUGACACUGAACAUUGAGCCUUGAUGUGUAGGAUAGGUGGGAGGCUUGGAAGUGUGGACGCCAGUCUGCAUGGAGCCGACCUUGAAAUACCACCCUUUAAUGUUUGAUGUUCUAACGUUGACCCGUAAUCCGGGUUGCGGACAGUGUCUGGUGGGUAGUUUGACUGGGGCGGUCUCCUCCUAAAGAGUAACGGAGGAGCACGAAGGUUGGCUAAUCCUGGUCGGACAUCAGGAGGUUAGUGCAAUGGCAUAAGCCAGCUUGACUGCGAGCGUGACGGCGCGAGCAGGUGCGAAAGCAGGUCAUAGUGAUCCGGUGGUUCUGAAUGGAAGGGCCAUCGCUCAACGGAUAAAAGGUACUCCGGGGAUAACAGGCUGAUACCGCCCAAGAGUUCAUAUCGACGGCGGUGUUUGGCACCUCGAUGUCGGCUCAUCACAUCCUGGGGCUGAAGUAGGUCCCAAGGGUAUGGCUGUUCGCCAUUUAAAGUGGUACGCGAGCUGGGUUUAGAACGUCGUGAGACAGUUCGGUCCCUAUCUGCCGUGGGCGCUGGAGAACUGAGGGGGGCUGCUCCUAGUACGAGAGGACCGGAGUGGACGCAUCACUGGUGUUCGGGUUGUCAUGCCAAUGGCACUGCCCGGUAGCUAAAUGCGGAAGAGAUAAGUGCUGAAAGCAUCUAAGCACGAAACUUGCCCCGAGAUGAGUUCUCCCUGACCCUUUAAGGGUCCUGAAGGAACGUUGAAGACGACGACGUUGAUAGGCCGGGUGUGUAAGCGCAGCGAUGCGUUGAGCUAACCGGUACUAAUGAACCGUGAGGCUUAACCUUACAACGCCGAAG
RNAcentral lists this ribosomal RNA (2925 nucleotides) under Escherichia coli. RNAcentral's name for it is "partial 23S ribosomal RNA". It matches the Rfam family "Bacterial large subunit ribosomal RNA". Lineage: Bacteria; Pseudomonadati; Pseudomonadota; Gammaproteobacteria; Enterobacterales; Enterobacteriaceae. The record is from RNAcentral.